Gekko japonicus is the source of this 418-nucleotide long non-coding RNA. RefSeq lists it as uncharacterized. The record is from RefSeq and is a predicted model, not a curated record. The transcript has 3 exons. NCBI's taxonomy places the organism in Eukaryota, Metazoa, Chordata, Lepidosauria, Squamata, Gekkonidae.
GGGUGGUAGCGGCUGUUUUGGGUACUCCUGCAGAUGUGAUCAAAACCCGAAUAAUGAAUCAACCAAGAGAUGAACAUGGAAGGGGUUUGCUGUAUAAAUCAUCCACUGACUGCCUGUUUCAGGCAAUUCAAGGUGAAGGGUUUCUGUCUCUAUACAAAGGUUUUGUACCAACAUGGAUGCGAAUGGCUCCUUGGUCCCUGGUCUUCUGGCUCACCUUUGAACAAAUCAGAAGAAUUACUGGAAUUACUUCAUUUUAAGAAUGUGUAAUAUAGCCUGUGAUUAUCCAGUAGGCUAUUAAGCCUUCUACGGGACUUUGGUGUCAAUACGGUUAUUGUACUGGCGGCCAAAGACUAUUCCAAAUGAGUUCCUGAUAUUAGCCUAGUGCCAGAUGCAUCAAGGGGCAAAUGAAAAUAAAAAA